RNAcentral lists this ribosomal RNA (431 nucleotides) under Shigella flexneri. RNAcentral describes it as "bacterial SSU rRNA". It matches the Rfam family "Bacterial small subunit ribosomal RNA", at positions 39 to 474 of the family's 1533-position model. Lineage: Bacteria; Pseudomonadati; Pseudomonadota; Gammaproteobacteria; Enterobacterales; Enterobacteriaceae. The record is from RNAcentral.
CAUGCGCAGCUACCAUGCAGUCGAGCGGUAAAGUUAGUUUGUUGCUCCUCUGAUGACCACCGGGGGGCGGGUGAGUAAUGCUUGGGAAUGUUCCUUAUGGUGGGGGACAACAAUUGGAAACGACUGCUAAUACCGCUUAAUGUCUUCCGACCAUUAACGGGGACCUUCUGGCCUCGCGCCAAUGGAUCUGCCCAAGUGGGAUUAGCUAGGAGGUGAGGUAAUGGCCCACCAAGGCGACGAUCCCUAGCUGGGAUAAGAAGAUGAUCCACCACGCUGCGACUGAGACACCGCCACUACUCCUACAGGAGGCAGCGAUGAAGAAUAUUGCACGAAGGCCGCAAUGCUGAUGCCAUGCUGCCGGGUGGAAGAAGAACGCCUUCGGGUUGUAAAGCUCUUUCACUAAAGAAGAAAGGUUGGAUGUUAAUAUGAUU